UACAUAGGGUGCAAGCGUUGUCCGGAAUUAUUGGGCGUAAAGAGCUCGUAGGUGGUUCGUCACGUCGGAUGUGAAAAUCUGGGGCUUAACCCCAGACCUGCAUUCGAUACGGUCGGACUGGAGUGUGGUAGGGGAGACUGGAAUUCCUGGUGUAGCGGUGGAAUGCGCAGAUAUCAGGAGGAACACCAAUGGCGAAGGCAGGUCUCUGGGCCAUUACUGACACUGAGGGGCGAAAGCGUGGGGAGCAAACGGAAUUAGAUACCCUGGUAGGCCACGCCGUAAACGAUGGGCACUAGUUGUGGAAACCUUCCACGGUUUCUGCGACGCAGCUAACGAAUUAAGUGCCCCGCGUGGGGAGUACGAUCGCAAGAUUA
RNAcentral lists this ribosomal RNA (374 nucleotides) under uncultured prokaryote. Its description in RNAcentral is "bacterial SSU rRNA". It matches the Rfam family "Bacterial small subunit ribosomal RNA", at positions 524 to 896 of the family's 1533-position model. The record is from RNAcentral.